Molecule: ribosomal RNA, 482 nt
Filed under: uncultured bacterium
Lineage: Bacteria
Description: partial 16S ribosomal RNA
Rfam family: Bacterial small subunit ribosomal RNA
Source: RNAcentral
AUUGAACGCUGGCGGCAUGCCUUACACAUGCCAGUCGAACGGUAACAGGUCUUCUGAUGCUGACGAGUGGCGAACGGGUGAGUAAUACAUCGGAACGUGCCCGAUCGUGGGGGAUAACGAGGCGAAAGCUUUGCUAAUACCGCAUACGAUCUACGGAUGAAAGCGGGGGAUGUUCGGACCUCGCGCGGACGGAGCGGCCGAUGGCAGAUUAGGUAGUUGGUGGGAUAAAAGCUUACCAAGCCGACGAUCUGUAGCUGGACUGAGAGGAUGAUCAGCCACACUGGGACUGAGACACGGCCCAGACUCCUACGGGAGGCAGCAGUGGGGAAUUUUGGACAAUGGGCGAAAGCCUGAUCCAGCCAUGCCGCGUGCAGGAUGAAGGCCUUCGGGUUGUAAACUGCUUUUGUACGGAACGAAAAGCCUCUUUCUAAUAAAGAGGGGUCAUGACGGUACCGGAAGAAUAAGCACCGGCUAACUACGUG